CCCCUCUCAGGGUCACACCCGGAGAGUUUCCAGUCCUCUACCAGUCUCGGCUACGGGAGGGAGAGUCGAGCAGAGGAAGAACCAUUCCAUUCCUAGCUCGGGCAGUGGCUAGCGAGGGGAAGGCAAUCUGCUACAAGU
RNAcentral lists this small nucleolar RNA (138 nucleotides) under Ornithorhynchus anatinus (platypus). The record is from RNAcentral. Lineage: Eukaryota; Metazoa; Chordata; Mammalia; Monotremata; Ornithorhynchidae.